AUGGCUUUAGCGCUCAAGGCGUCCCUCUCGCCGUCUUCCUCGCCUCUGUCGAGCCCCCAGAGAAGCCGCGCCAGGGCGGCAGUGGCAGUGGCCACACCGGGGAGGCCUGUCGUCGCCAGGGCACUGGCCGCGGCCUCGGUCGACCCGGCGGUGGUCAUGCCGACGGCGAGGAGGCUUGCGGUCAGGGCCCGCGCAGCGGCGACCUUGCUUGCCCCGGCACCGGCCGGUAAGAGCGGCAUGUCGGUAGCGAAGGCCAUGUCCCAGGCCAGACACAAGGGCAAGACGGCGUUCAUCCCGUACAUCACCGCUGGCGAUCCCGACCUGGCCACGACGGCGGAGGCGCUCAGGCUCCUCGACACCCUCGGUGCCGACGUCAUAGAGGUGGGCAUGCCGUUCUCCGACCCCUACGCCGACGGCCCCGUCAUCCAGGCGUCCGCUGCGCGGGCGCUCUCGGCCGGCGUGACAACGGACGCCGUGAUGUCGAUGCUGAAGGAGGUGACGCCGGAGCUGUCCUGCCCGGUGGUCAUCUUCUCUUACUUCAACCCAAUCGCGCGGCGGGGAACGGGGAGCUUCACCGCUGCAGCCAGAGAGGCCGGUGUACGAGGUCUUAUAGUACCUGAUCUUCCUUAUAUCGAGACAGGUGUUCUUAGGAAUGAAGCCAUAAAGAACGACAUCGAGCUGGUGCUGCUCACAACACCAUCUACAAAGGCAGACAUGAUGAAUGAGAUCACAAUAGCUUCCGAAGGGUUUGUUUACCUUGUAAGUAUCAACGGAGUUACAGGAGCCCGCCCAGAUGUGAACCCGCGGGUGAAGGAUCUUCUCAAGGAGAUUAAGCAGGUCACUAACAAAGCAGUGGCUGUUGGGUUUGGCAUAUCGACCCCUGACCAUAUUAGACAGGUUGCACAAUGGGGUGCAGAUGGAGUGAUAAUCGGUAGCGCGAUGGUAAAGCAGUUGGGUGAAGCUGAUUCUCCGAGAGAAGGUUUAAAGAGGUUGGAAGUAUACGCCAGGAGCCUGAAGGAUGCACUCAGCAGCGGGUCCACCAUUGGGGCGAGUUGGGGCGACCGCCUCAGUUCUUCAACGUCAUGGCAGGGUACUUCCCCUGUCUAUUGA
This 1110-nucleotide ribosomal RNA is filed under the name Triticum aestivum (bread wheat). RNAcentral's name for it is "partial small subunit ribosomal RNA". The record is from RNAcentral. Lineage: Eukaryota; Viridiplantae; Streptophyta; Magnoliopsida; Poales; Poaceae.